RNAcentral lists this ribosomal RNA (385 nucleotides) under marine copepod environmental sample. Its description in RNAcentral is "SSU rRNA". It matches the Rfam family "Eukaryotic small subunit ribosomal RNA", at positions 587 to 972 of the family's 1831-position model. Lineage: Eukaryota; Metazoa; Arthropoda; Copepoda. The record is from RNAcentral.
AGCUCCAAUAGCGUAUAUUAAAGUUGUUGUGGUUAAAAAGCUCGUAGUUGGAUCUCGGCGGUCUGAGGGCGGUUCGCUUGAUUGAGUGCUACUGCUCUAUAGGCCGUGGUUUUGCCAGAGGUCUCGGGGUGCUCUUAACCGAGUGUCCUGCGAUGCUGGCAGGUUUACUUUGAAAAAAUUAGAGUGCUCAAAGCAGGCUUUUACGCCUGAAUAUUCGUGCAUGGAAUAAUAGGAAUGGGAGUUGGUUCUUAUUUGGUGGGUUUCGGAAAUCGACUUAAUGAUUAAUAGGGACAGUCGGGGGCAUUUGUAUUCAAACGACAGAGGUGAAAUUCUUGGACCGUUUGAAGACAAACUACUGCGAAAGCAUUUGCCAAGAAUGUUUUCA